GACGAACGCUGGCGGCGUGCUUAACACAUGCAAGUCGAACGGAAAGGCCCUGCUUUUGUGGGGUGCUCGAGUGGCGAACGGGUGAGUAACACGUGAGUAACCUGCCCUUGACUUUGGUAUAACUUCAGGAAACUGGGGCUAAUACCGGAUAGGAGCUCCUGCUGCAUGGUGGGGGUUGGAACGUUUCGGCGGUUGGGGAUGGACUCGCGGCUUAUCAGCUUGUUGGUGGGGUAGUGGCUUACCAAGGCUUUGACGGGUAGCCGGCCUGAGAGGGUGACCGGCCACAAUGGGACUGAGAUACGGCCCAGACUCCUACGGGAGGCAGCAGUGGGGAAUAUUGCACAAUGGGCGGAAGCCUGAUGCAGCAACGCCGCGUGCGGGAUGACGGCCUUCGGGUUGUAAACCGCUUUCGCCUGUGACGAAGCGUGAGUGACGGUAAUGGGUAAAGAAGCACCGGCUAACUACGUG
This 468-nucleotide ribosomal RNA is filed under the name uncultured bacterium. RNAcentral's name for it is "partial 16S ribosomal RNA". It matches the Rfam family "Bacterial small subunit ribosomal RNA", at positions 28 to 507 of the family's 1533-position model. The record is from RNAcentral.